UCUGAUGUUUUGGAAACCUUGGACCUUGAAUGUCCAUUAAAGAUGUUCGACUCGUCUUCAGGCU
This 64-nucleotide transfer RNA is filed under the name Eisenia nordenskioldi nordenskioldi. RNAcentral describes it as "tRNA-Ser". The record is from RNAcentral. Lineage: Eukaryota; Metazoa; Annelida; Clitellata; Crassiclitellata; Lumbricidae.